Non-coding RNA from Anas platyrhynchos (mallard), 3820 nucleotides. Lineage: Eukaryota; Metazoa; Chordata; Aves; Anseriformes; Anatidae. The record is from RefSeq and is a predicted model, not a curated record.
CAAAUACUUUUGGUCCCUUAGUAAGAACUUUACAUGCCAGCUGUUUGCAGAUGAUAAUUAGAAGUGGUAAUAAUUUUACUGAAUUCUGUCUCUCUAUGUAGGUGAGAAUUUAUGGAAUGUAUACUUUUGCAUUAUUAGUUUGUGUUUUUGCAUUUGAUUUAGUUUUCCUUCCAUUACUUACUCUUUAACAAAAGCAUAACUACCUCAUAAAACACUGUUAAAAAGAAGAUGAAACAACCUAAAAUAUCUUGAAAUAAAUUUCACUUUUUUUUUUUUCUUCUUUUUUCUAUUUUCUUCUAGAAGCUGGAAAGGAUGAGAUAAGGAGACAUUGUAGUUUCAGUCUUUAAACAUUUGGGACUUCUUUAUGAGACUUAAGUCUAUCUAGUAGUGUGAUAGAAACAUUAACUACUUACUUCAGUAACAUUAAUCAGCUGAUGCCAGGCUUCCUGUUGCCUGCUAUAGAAAAGGUGGCUCAGCUUUCCACAGCUGAGACUUCCCCUAUCAAUUUCAAAAUUGUUGUGGAAUCCUGAAUGUGGGAUGGAAAAUGAGAUUUUGACUUUUACAAACAGAAAAGGAAGAUGUCUUGAACUCUCUUGCUAAGGAGGAAAAUGCUCUCCUGCCUGGAUCUCAUCGUCUUUCUUGCGUUGAGAGAGUUGGAGCCACAUUCCCAUCCUCUCUUCUAUGACAGUAACUCCAAAGACUUGCAAUGCGAGACUCAACAUUUAGCCAUCAGCAGCUUAAAAUCCAUCCUGCUGCCUCAGCAUUCCGCUCGCUCUCACCCAACUGCAGCUGCUUCACCUGAUGGCCCUGCACUUUUUCUUCCAACAUUUGAAAUGUAGUUUGUUUUUAUUUAUAACCCUCCCUGGAACAUAUAGUAAUGUCUGUUGGAAACUGAAUCAGCUCAAGCUCCUCUGUAAGAACCCUUGAACAUUUCCCUUUUGGACUCAAUUGGAAAGUUGCAGUUUUCCAUUUUAACUAAAAAUGCUCUGCAGGGAACAAUUCUACAUCUGCAGGGGUAGGCUAUAUGACUCAGUGUAAAUCUUUUCCUUCUUUAACUUCCGUUGUUCUCAUUCUGUUUUGCUAAGGCAUUUUAGUCUCAACUUUCUUCUAAAUGAGGGAACAAAUAUUCAUGAAAAUGAGAACUUAUUAUUAGAAAAAGUAAAAAUUUAAGAUCUUGAAAAUUCCUAUCUGUUGUUGACCUCUAUGUUUGAUAGAAUGAAAGUCACUUUUUCAGUUCCUUCCUUAUACCUUUCUCAAUACAUUUUGUAACUUAUAUUACUAAAAUAUAUGUGUAGAAGAUGUAUUUAGAAUUAGGCUCCUAAAAACAAUAUUAAAGAGUUUGUUUGUGGCAUGUCCUGAUGUUAUAAUAUGAGUUGACAGAGCUUGAGAAGGGAAGCAUGUGUAGAAAUGAAAAAUUUGCUUUGGUCAUUUUACAGGUCCACAGUAGAGCAAAGAAUCAAUUCCUUGUCUUUUAUUGUUCUAUUAUUUAACAUGUUGAAAAAGUGGUAGCUAAAUAUUUUGAGGAAGUGAGAGAGUAUGACCCAUGUACACUAACCAGAAACCUGAGUGUGUAUUCAUUAUUUAAUGAACAGAAUUUGUGGAAAAUGGAGGUUAAUCUAGAAGGGAGUUUAUAACCAUAGGCUAUCCAGAUAGGUAGAACAGCAUUAAGUAACCCCCAGCAGAGAUGUGUUCUGUUUAAAGAUGUGCUGUGCUGCAGAUACACUAUAGAAAAAGGUAGACUGUGGAGAUGUUGUUCCAGCUGCAGUAAUGUCUGGCGGGUGAAGCUGUGGCUUGUAAAGUAUCAAAGAGUGCAGUGAUUCUGGGUCAGUUGUUCAUCUCCAGAGCCUAAGUGUUUUGUGUGGUGUUUGGAAAGAUUUGUCAGCUCAAGCCAGAAACAGCAUCCAAGAACAAAUUCAGUUUUGAUGGUACCUUGAGCAAGGUUGAUCAUGAACAACUGUAAUAAUUCCCUUGAAUAAUAAUUAAUGCAACAAAAGGUUAUAUAUAAAUAUAUAUAUAUAUUUUUUUCUUUUUACAGAAGUUUCAUAAUUGCUGGAAAACUUUUGAUUUUGCUGUGUGUCUUAUUUUUCUUCCCUUUCUUUCUCUUUUUUCUUUUUUCCGUUGUACACAUGAAAAAAGUGAAAAUGAAAGGAAAAGAACAAGGAAAGGAGAAUGAUCUAAAAAUGAUAAUUUAAAAAAACAGUUGUCUUUCUUUGGGAAUAUUUGUUUUUGGAAUAAAGAAGAAACAUCUGAAAACUUGGGUAGCAUGUAUGUGAUCCAUUUUGAGUCAUGUAAUUGUUUUUUGCUGUCACUAUUUCAGUCUUUAUUCAGAUCAAAUCAAUAUGGUUAUUUCUGGGGAUAUUGUUGGCUAGAUUAAAUUUUAAAAAUACUGAAAGAAGGACAACUAAUACUGCAUGAUAAUGUUAGACUUGUUCUUAAAGUGGAUUUUUUUUAAGCUUCAGGAGAUGUGGAAAAUAGAAAAUGGAACUUGAAGUGAAGGCACUUUGGAGUUCUUACUCCAAAGAGUGGCUCCCUCAGCAGAGAAGAAACUCAGAUCAACAGUCUGUUCACAAGAAGCAGAGAAUAGGAGAGCACUGAGAAAGAAUAGGUGAUAACUGGGAUUCAGCACAAAACAGCUUUUCCUUCUGUGCUUUGAAGUUCUGAUUUUAUAAAAAUGUGCAUGUAUCUAGGUUAGCAUGAUGCUGAAAGUGAAGAUUAGCAUAAUGCUAUUUUAUUAAAAAUACAUAAAGCUAAAUAGAAUGUAAACUUUAAAAUUUAUAGUUAGAAAAAAAAGGGGGGGGGAUUUUCUUUUAUCUCUGUUCUGGAAGUUUCUGCUCUAGCAUACAGAGAAGAGAACUUGAACUGAGGAAAGUAUGAUGCUAUAGAUGCUUGAGUCCAUGUGAUAUAAGUGAUAUUUAACUAUGUUUCCAAACAGUUUUGGAAAUAGAGGAUCUUAGUUUGUCCUCAUGCUUCAUAAUCCCUUCACUUGUAAAACAGUGCUGUGGCUACUGGAAAAAGAAACUGGAACUGGUGUGUAGUUUGCCAGGUCUCUCCCGUAUUCGUUUGCCACAGGGAGGCACUCCUCUUCAGGUUGUGCCUUCUCAGCUGCUCUGCAAAAUAUUAAGUGUGGUCCUUUGGUAGUUUAAAAAACAAUGAGUCUUCAUGUCAGUGGUGCUGCUUAAGUCUACAGCUAUAGUGAAUGCAGUGUCCAAAUCCAUUGCCCUGAAAUACGUAUGUCCAUAUUUGAUAUCACAAGGAUAUAGAUUUUGAAAUGGGAGCUUGAAUUAAAAUUUUGACAUUCUUAUAUUCCUGUGCAGAUACGCUUCACUUUUAGUAUUCCUGAAAUCAGCAACCUGAUUUCAUAAAUGCACAACAGAAAAAACAAAGCAAACUGCCUGGCGUUGCAAAGGGAAAAUUCUGUGUAUGCCUUAGCAGAUUUCCCAGGCUGAAAUGGAGUAGUUAUAUAUAAAGAAAAACUGCUUUCAGAUGGGCUUGUUUCCAGAGUUUUGGCAUGUAUAACUAAACGAGGUUUAGGAUCACAUUCAGUAGAAUAAAGAUAUUUAGUCAUUAAAAUCUGUUAACUUUUUUUUUUUUUGAUGUGCAGAAAAAAAAUCAAGAGCACUCAGUUUGCAGUUCAGAAUAUUGAGAGUUAUAGGAGACUUGGUUUAAAAUUUUCCUAUUUUUUCCUUCUUUUUUUGGUCAAAUGUAUUGUAGUUAAAAAAAUUCCUGAUGUCUGUCUCCUAAUCUUGAUAUCCUACUGCACUUGAAAUUAUAUAUUUCAGUUUGCAACUGGUGUAAUACUUAUACCUUGCAGUGAGUUUAU